Molecule: ribosomal RNA, 253 nt
Filed under: uncultured bacterium
Lineage: Bacteria
Description: partial 16S ribosomal RNA
Rfam family: Bacterial small subunit ribosomal RNA
Source: RNAcentral
UACAGAGGUGGCAAGCGUUGUUCGGAAUUACUGGGCGUAAAGGGCGUGUAGGCGGCUUUUUAAGUCAGACGUGAAAUCCCCCGGCUUAACCUGGGAACUGCGUCUGAUACUGGAGAGCUAGAGUAUGGGAGAGGAAUGUAGAAUUCCAGGUGUAGCGGUGAAAUGCGUAGAUAUCUGGAGGAAUACCGGUGGCGAAGGCGGCAUUCUGGACCAUUACUGACGCUGAGACGCGAAAGCUAGGGGAGCAAACGGG